GACGAACGCUGGCGGCGUGCUUAACACAUGCAAGUCGAACGGAAAGGCCUGUCCUUCCUUGUGUUGGACGGGUACUCGAGUGGCGAACGGGUGAGUAACACGUGAGUGAUCUGCCCCCAACUUGGGUAUAAGCCUGGGAAACUGGGUCUAAUUCCCGAUAGGACUGCAGGGUGGUGCCUGUGGUGGAAAACGAUUUUCUAGUGGUUGGGGAUGAGCUCGCGGCCUAUCAGCUUGUUGGUGGGGUAAUGGCCUACCAAGGCGGCGACGGGUAGCCGGCCUGAGAGGGUGGACGGCCACAUUGGGACUGGGAUACGGCCCAGACUCCUACGGGAGGCAGCAGUGGGGAAGAUUGCACAGUGGGCGGAAGCCUGAUGCAGCGACGCCGCGUGGGGGAUGACGGCCUUCGGGUUGUAAACUCCUUGCGACCGCGAGGAAGCCGCCUGGUUGGAAGGGUGGUGACGGUAGUGGUAGAAGAAGCACCGGCUAACUACGUG
RNAcentral lists this ribosomal RNA (494 nucleotides) under uncultured bacterium. RNAcentral's name for it is "partial 16S ribosomal RNA". It matches the Rfam family "Bacterial small subunit ribosomal RNA", at positions 28 to 507 of the family's 1533-position model. The record is from RNAcentral.